AAUACAUGCAAGUCGAACGGCAGCAUUUCGGAUGGCAAGUGGCGAACGGGUGAGUAACGCGUACAGACCUGCCUUAUACUGGAGGAUAGCCCUGGGAAACUGGGAGUAAUACUCCAUGUGAUCGUAAGAUUAAAGCUCCGGCGGUAUAAGAUGGCUGUGCGUCUGAUUAGCUAGUUGGUGAGGUAGAGGCUCACCAAGGCGACGAUCAGUAGGGGGCGUGAGAGCGUGGCCCCCCACACGGGUACUGAGACACGGACCCGACUCCUACGGGAGGCAGCAGUAAGGAAUAUUGGUCAAUGGAGGCAACUCUGAACCAGCCAUCCCGCGUGCAGGAUGACGGCCCUAUGGGUUGUAAACUGCUUUUAUUUGGAACGAAAAUUACGGAUUUAUCUGUAACUGACGGUACCUCGAGAAUAAGCACCGGCUAACUCCGUGCCAGCAGCCGCGGUAAUACGGAGGGUGCAAGCGUUAUCCGGAAUCACUGGGUUUAAAGGGUGCGUAGGCGGCAUUAUAAGUCAGAGGUGAAAGCCCGUCGCUUAACGAUGGAAUUGCCUUUGAUACUGUAGUGCUUGAAUCAAGUUGAGGCUGGCGGAAUGUGGCAUGUAGCGGUGAAAUGCAUAGAUAUGCCAUAGAACACCAAUUGCGAAGGCAGCUGGCUGGACUUGAAUUGACGCUGAGGCACGAAAGCGAGGGGAGCGAACAGGAUUAGAUACCCUGGUAGUCCACGCCCUAAACGAUGUUUACUCGUUCCAGGCACUUGCUGUCUGGGACCAAGCGAAAGCGUUAAGUAAACCACCUGGGGAGUACGUCGGCAACGAUGAAACUCAAAGGAUGACGGGGUCCGCACAGCGGUGAGCAUGUGUUUAUCGAUGAUACGCGAGGACUACUAGCUAGAUGUGAGCGCUACCUGUGAAAGCAGGGUUCUUCGGACGCG
RNAcentral lists this ribosomal RNA (934 nucleotides) under uncultured bacterium. RNAcentral's name for it is "bacterial SSU rRNA". It matches the Rfam family "Bacterial small subunit ribosomal RNA", at positions 50 to 1029 of the family's 1533-position model. The record is from RNAcentral.